UACGUAGGGAGCAAGCGUUGUCCGGAAUCAUUGGGCGUAAAGAGCGUGUAGGCGGCCUGAUAAGUCGGCUGUGAAAGUCAAGGGCUCAACCCUUGAAUGCCGGCCGAUACUGUCAGGCUAGAGUCCGGAAGAGGCGAGUGGAAUUCCUGGUGUAGCGGUGAAAUGCGCAGAUAUCAGGAGGAACACCUAUGGCGAAGGCAGCUCGCUGGGACGGUACUGACGCUGAGGAGCGAAAGCGUGGGGAGCGAACAGG
Molecule: ribosomal RNA, 253 nt
Filed under: uncultured bacterium
Lineage: Bacteria
Description: partial 16S ribosomal RNA
Rfam family: Bacterial small subunit ribosomal RNA
Source: RNAcentral